UGCAUCUUACGUCACACCAAAGGAGCUGAAUUUGAGUGUUGCUUUUGAUGGUUAAAGGCGUGUGAAGGAGUUAUUGAAAGUUGCAGUACAUUUAUAAUGGCAUACAUUGGGAAAUUCACAGAUAGAAGCCCCUCUAUAAGAGCGAUUUGAAGGGACGGAGCCAUUUCUGAUGUAGCUCAAGCUGGCGGACUGGUUAAUGGGUGAUUUCUAAUCAGUUGCAUUUAUUUUAAGUUCUUUAAUUAUUUAUUGUUUUGAAACUUAUCAACUUGUUAACACUGAUUCUCUCACUGUUCCUUGUACCUGAAUGUGUUAUGUAUGAAUGUUAAAACUUUUUGUAAUGUUGUGUAAUUUUCAGUAAUGGAAUUGCUAUCAAUGUUAUAGUGGCUUUGCAACACCUGGUUUGAUUUGUAUAUUUGGUCACUGUUAAAACAAAUAAAUAUUAUGAAAAAAUUUUAAA
Molecule: long non-coding RNA, 457 nt
Organism: Schistocerca gregaria
Lineage: Eukaryota; Metazoa; Arthropoda; Insecta; Orthoptera; Acrididae
Exons: 2
Source: RefSeq, a predicted model, not a curated record